Molecule: ribosomal RNA, 484 nt
Filed under: uncultured bacterium
Lineage: Bacteria
Description: partial 16S ribosomal RNA
Rfam family: Bacterial small subunit ribosomal RNA
Source: RNAcentral
AUUGAACGCUGGCGGCAGGCCUAACACAUGCAAGUCGAGCGGAUGAAGGGAGCUUGCUCCUGGAUUCAGCGGCGGACGGGUGAGUAAUGCCUAGGAAUCUGCCUGGUAGUAGGGGAUAACGUCCGGAAACGGGCGCUAAUACCGCAUACGUCCUGAGGGAGAAAGUGGGGGAUCUUCGGACCUCACGCUAUCAGAUGAGCCUAGGUCGGAUUAGCUAGUUGGUGGGGUAAAGGCCUACCAAGGCGACGAUCCGUAACUGGUCUGAGAGGAUGAUCAGUCACACUGGAACUGAGACACGGUCCAGACUCCUACGGGAGGCAGCAGUGGGGAAUAUUGGACAAUGGGCGUAAGCCUGAUCCAGCCAUGCCGCGUGUGUGAAGAAGGUCUUCGGAUUGUAAAGCACUUUAAGUUGGGAGGAAGGGCAGUAAGUUAAUACCUUGCUGUUUUGACGUUACCAACAGAAUAAGCACCGGCUAACUUCGUG